GACGAACGCUGGCGGCGUGCCUAAUACAUGCAAGUAGAACGCUGAAGGAGGAUCUUGCUUCUCUGGAUGAGUUGCGAACGGGUGAGUAACGCGUAGGUAACCUGCCUGGUAGCGGGGGAUAACUAUUGGAAACUAUAGCUAAUACCGCAUAAUAGUAGAUGUUGCAUGACAUUUGCUUAAAAUGUGCAAUUGCAUCACUACCAGAUGGACCUGCGUUGUAUUAGCUAGUUGGUGGGGUAACGGCUCACCAAGGCGACGAUACAUAGCCGACCUGAGAGGGUGAUCGGCCACACUGGGACUGAGACACGGCCCAGAAGCCUACGGGAGGCAGCAGUAGGGAAUCUUCGGCAAUGGACGGAAGUCUGACCGAGCAACGCCGCGUGAGUGAAGAAGGUUUUCGGAUCGUAAAGCUCUGUUGUAAGAGAAGAACGAGUGUGAGAGUGGAAAGUUCACACUGUGACGGUAUCUUACCAGAAAGGGACGGCUAACUACGUG
Molecule: ribosomal RNA, 495 nt
Filed under: uncultured bacterium
Lineage: Bacteria
Description: partial 16S ribosomal RNA
Rfam family: Bacterial small subunit ribosomal RNA
Source: RNAcentral